This 348-nucleotide unclassified non-coding RNA is filed under the name soil metagenome. RNAcentral describes it as "partial contains 5.8S ribosomal RNA, internal transcribed spacer 2, and large subunit ribosomal RNA". The stretch from base 1 to 120 matches the Rfam family "5.8S ribosomal RNA", at positions 35 to 154 of the family's 154-position model. The record is from RNAcentral.
GAUGAAGAACGCAGCGAAAUGCGAUAAGUAAUGUGAAUUGCAGAAUUCAGUGAAUCAUCGAAUCUUUGAACGCACAUUGCGCCCGCCAGUAUUCUGGCGGGCAUGCCUGUCUGAGCGUCAUUUCAACCCUCAUGCCCCUAGGGCGUGGUGUUGGGGAUCGGCCAAAGCCCGCGAGGGACGGCCGGCCCCUAAAUCUAGUGGCGGACCCGUCGUGGCCUCCUCUGCGAAGUAGUGAUAUUCCGCAUCGGAGAGCGAUGAGCCCCUGCCGUUAAACCCCCAACUUCCCAAGGUUGACCUCAGAUCAGGUAGGAAUACCCGCUGAACUUAAGCAUAUCAAUAAGCGGAGGA